This 467-nucleotide ribosomal RNA is filed under the name uncultured bacterium. RNAcentral describes it as "partial 16S ribosomal RNA". The stretch from base 21 to 320 matches the Rfam family "Bacterial small subunit ribosomal RNA", at positions 48 to 357 of the family's 1533-position model. The record is from RNAcentral.
GACGAACGCUGGCGGCGUGCUUAACACAUGCAAGUCGAACGGAAAGGCCCUGCUUUUGUGGGGUGCUCGAGUGGCGAACGGGUGAGUAACACGUGAGUAACCUGCCCUUGACUUUGGGAUAACUUCAGGAAACUGGGGCUAAUACCGGAUAGGAGCUCCUGCUGCAUGGUGGGGGUUGGAAAGUUUCGGCGGUUGGGGAUGGACUCGCGGCUUAUCAGCUUGUUGGUGGGGUAGUGGCUUACCAAGGCUUUGACGGGUAGCCGGCCUGAGAGGGUGACCGGCGCAAUGGGGAUGGAGGAACGGCGGGGGAGCAGCAGGGGAGGAGGGGCGGGGGGGAGUGCAGGGUGGGCGGAGGCGUGCUGGAGCAACGCCGGGUGGGAAAGGAGGGUGGUGGGGAUGUAAACGGAGGUGGCGUGUGACGAGGGGUCAGGGAGGUGAAUAAGUAAAGAAGCAGCGGCUGCAUAAGU